This 1223-nucleotide ribosomal RNA is filed under the name human gut metagenome. Its description in RNAcentral is "bacterial LSU rRNA". It matches the Rfam family "Bacterial large subunit ribosomal RNA", at positions 1154 to 2461 of the family's 2925-position model. The record is from RNAcentral.
CGUCUUUGCGCGGAGAAUUUAACGGGGCUAAACCUGACACCGAAGCUUAGGCAAUACAGCAAUGUAUUGGGUAGGGGAGCGUUGUAUACGCGGUGAAACAGUAGCGCAAGCGGCUGUGGAGUGUAUAGAAGUGAGAAUGCCGGAAUGAGUAGCGCGAAUGCAGUGAGAAUCUGCAUGGCCGAAAGCCUCAGGUUUCUGGAGGAAGGUUCGUCCGCUCCAGGUUAGUCGGGAGCUAAGGUGAGGCCUAACGGCGUAGCCGAUGCACAGACGGUAGAGAUUCCGUCACCACCAAAAGAGUUAAACACAGGGACACAUAUGAAGUCUCGGAGCCGGGUGUUGGUUCCGGUAGCGAUCGAGGGAAGUUAGUACCGAAGUCUGAGAUGGAAGAUGGCGAGAAAAGCUGUGUGUAUUUCUGCGGUGCCCGUACCGCAAACCGACACAGGUAGGUAGGAAGAAGAUUCUAAGGCCAACGGGAGAAGGGUUGUUAAGGAACUCGGCAAAUUGACCCCGUAACUUCGGGAGAAGGGGUGCUCCAGAGAUGGAGCCGCAGAGAAUCGGCCCAAGCAACUGUUUACCAAAAACACAGGUUUGUGCUAAAUCGAAAGAUGACGUAUACGAGCUGACGCCUGCCCGGUGCUGGAAGGUUAAGAGGAGAUGUGCAAGCAUUGAAUCGAAGCCCCAGUGAACGGCGGCCGUAACUAUAACGGUCCUAAGGUAGCGAAAUUCCUUGUCAGGUAAGUUCUGACCCGCAUGAAAGGCGUAAUGAUUUGGGCACUGUCUCAACAGCCCGCCCGGCGAAAUUGUAGUACCGGUGAAGAUGCCGGUUACCCGCGACAAGACGGAAAGACCCCAUGGAGCUUUACUGUAGCCUAAUAUUGGGUUUCGAUGUUGCAUGCACAGGAUAGAUGGGACACAGGGAAACAAUCGCUUUGGCGGUUGCGGAGUGGCCGUUGGGAUACCAUCCUUGCGAUAUUGGAAUUCUAACCUGCGGCUCUGAAUCGAGUCGGGGGACAUUGUUAGGUGGGCAGUUUGACUGGGGCGGUCGCCUCCUAAAAAGUAACGGAGGCGUUCAAAGGUUCGCUCAGCUUGAACGGAAAUCAAGCAAAAGAGUGCAAACGCAGAAGCGAGCCUAACUGCGAGACUGACGGGUCGAGCAGUAACGAAAGUUGGAGUUAGUGAUCCGGUGGUAUGUGAGUGGAAAUGCCAUCGCUCAACGGAUAAAA